UACAGAGGGGGCAAGCGUUGUUCGGAAUUACUGGGCGUAAAGGGCGCGUAGGCGGCCUGUUAAGUCGAACGUGAAAUCCCCAGGCUCAACCUGGGAACUGCGUCCGAAACUGGCAGGCUUGAAUCCGGGAGAGGGAUGUGGAAUUCCAGGUGUAGCGGUGAAAUGCGUAGAUAUCUGGAGGAACAUCGGUGGCGAAGGCGACAUCCUGGACCGGUAUUGACGCUGAGGCGCGAAAGCCAGGGGAGCAAACGGG
Molecule: ribosomal RNA, 253 nt
Filed under: uncultured bacterium
Lineage: Bacteria
Description: partial 16S ribosomal RNA
Rfam family: Bacterial small subunit ribosomal RNA
Source: RNAcentral